GACGAACGCUGGCGGCGUGCCUAAUACAUGCAAGUCGAACGCUUCUUUCCUCCCGAGUGCUUGCACUCAAUUGGAAAGAGGAGUGGCGGACGGGUGAGUAACACGUGGGUAACCUACCCAUCAGAGGGGGAUAACACUUGGAAACAGGUGCUAAUACCGCAUAACAGUUUAUGCCGCAUGGCAUAAGAGUGAAAGGCGCUUUCGGGUGUCGCUGAUGGAUGGACCCGCGGUGCAUUAGCUAGUUGGUGAGGUAACGGCUCACCAAGGCCACGAUGCAUAGCCGACCUGAGAGGGUGAUCGGCCACACUGGGACUGAGGCACGGCCCAGACUCCUACGGGAGGCAGCAGUAGGGAAUCUUCGGCAAUGGACGAAAGUCUGACCGAGCAACGCCGCGUGAGUGAAGAAGGUUUUCGGAUCGUAAAACUCUGUUGUUAGAGAAGAACAAGGACGUUAGCAACUGAACGUCCCCUGACGGUAUCUAACCAGAAAGCCACGGCUAACUACGUG
This 508-nucleotide ribosomal RNA is filed under the name uncultured bacterium. Its description in RNAcentral is "partial 16S ribosomal RNA". It matches the Rfam family "Bacterial small subunit ribosomal RNA", at positions 28 to 507 of the family's 1533-position model. The record is from RNAcentral.